UGGUGGGCUGGCCCUCACGGUCUUCACUGUCCCCGGCCCCUCAGAGAGGCAGCUGGUGGCUACAAGUCCAAUCUGUGAAGGAGGACAGGGUGCUUGGGGAGCCAGCUUGUGUUGUGUGGUGGUCUGGGGUUCAAGAGGUGAGAGGAUAUGAAAUCAAACCCCAUGCUGAAGGCAGAAGGGUUAAUCCCUCUUCUCACACACACAGAAACACGUACUUCCCACAUAGACUCAGGUCUUGCUGAGGCUACCCACUGUUGGGGAGGUGCAUUUGGCUUUGGAAAUCUCAAAGAGGGCCAGAGUGGGCUUCAGAUGAGAGAAGAGGGUGCUGCUGUUUCAGGCUGGCAAAGGAGUUUUGCCAUUUUCCUUCCAGGUCAGUUGAUUUCAAUGUUACAUACACUAUACCACAGGAGUUUGUUCAGUCUUACCAAGGAAGGGAAGGAAGCAGGUGUUCAAAGCCAAAACCAUAGUCAGGAAAAGGGACUGGACAUAUAUGGACAUGUGAGAGGAGACAUGGCAGCCUGGUAGAAAGAGUUGGGAUUUUACCUUUAGGUGAAUUCUGGAUCUGUGACCUCUUGUAACCUUGGUAAGCCAUCCAACUCACUUGAGCUUCCUUCUCUGAAAAAUGAUAGCUAACAAUGCUUCUCUUGCAAGUUCCUAUGAAUAGAAUACUGAGUGCAAAUCCAGUAUAAAUGAGACCAACCUGUCAAUAAAUGUGUGUUUGGAUCAGAAUUUGCAUUAAAGUUGGUGCGGUAAUAGUAAUUGGGUUCUUUUUCUAUGAAGUCUCCCCCCUCCCACCGCCCCAGUCCCCAUGGUCUUACAUGUUAGAGUCAAAUGGGGUUGGAGGUAGGCGACAAGAAGAGAGGAAGUGGAAAUCGGUGAUUGGUUAUUAAUUUUCGGCUUCUUGAAGUUCCACCACUUAGUUGAGUUUCUUGGAACCAAAACUGUGUUUUCUUGUUUUUGCCUCUUGUAUACCUGGCCUGGAACUGCCAAUGGGUAAUAUUUACUGAAGUACAGAGUGAAUGCAUGAACAAACCUUAUUCAGUCUGCCCUCCUUGUUGCUAAUACUUACUUGGGUAUCAUUAGGCUCUGUGACAUGUUUGCAGAAACAAAACUAAUUGUAGUUUAAUGUUGGAGGAUCUAAAAAUUGAAGUUGUGAAGUAUGUAACAUUAAGAACAAGAACUCUAAGGCUUGGAUGCCAGGCUUAGAAUCCCAACUGGCCAUGACCUUAGGCCACACAUUUAACCUCUGUGUGCCUCAGCUUCCUAAUCUACAGCAUGGGGAUAAUUACAGCACCCGCCCAUUAGGUUGUUGGGAGGCAUAUAUAAAUACCUCUUUGAAGUGCAUACAACAGUGUCUGGCAUGUAGUAAGUGCUAAAUAAUUGUUAGCUGUUGUUAUUUUAAACUUUUGAGCCUGGUGUUUUGUGUAAUAUUCACCCAUAUUAUAACACUUAAACAUUUUUUCCAGAUAUGAUUCCUAAAAAUGUUAAGGCCAUAAAGCAAUAGGUCAGAGUAAUAAAUUUCCCAGUAAAAACUUAUAUAUAAAUUAAUGAGCAGACCUCAAGCUGCCACAUUUCUAGGUAUGAUACACAUUCAUGAAGCCAGCUGGAAAAUGAUCCCCAGUCCCUGGUUAUCAGAGAAAAUUCAAUCGCCAAAUUAAAUCACCCUAUUUUUCCCUACCACAGAGUGUAAUAGUAGAUAGAAAAGUGUUUUCUGCAUUUUGUCAUCCAGUUUGAUGGCAGUCUUCUGAGUUUUUUGUUUUUUUUUUUGUUUUGUGUUUUUUAAAUCUGCCCCAUUGCGGAUCCCAAAGACUUGGCUUGGGUCACAGCUCUCAGCCUAGUUCUCUAAUUGAGCAGUAGAAAAUGGAUGGUUUGAUGCUUAAAAAGAAAAUGAAUAUUUGCUUUUCAUUUGAUGGAGGCAGAGACUUUGGGCACCAACUGGAAAGAAACCCUGUAUACAGAGGCUGAGGAAUUGAACUGUGAGGCAUGUUUGGUGCUUGGAUAUCUGGUAUGGCUUGAACAUAAGGACAAUAAGUCCGUUCACCUCUGCAAGGACUUCUAAUCCUUCUGUGACACCGGCAACACAAAGGAGAAAAGGACAGGUGCUCAGAAUGUCCUUUCAUCCAAGAUGGGGAUAUGGAGUGGUCGGAUCCCCUGAGGUCAGAACCAUGGACUCCACUGAUUGCUGAGAGGAAACAGGUGGGGUGGGAGGAUGGCUCAAUUAGGGGAAGCCCAAUGCAACCAUGUGGAGGAGGCUCAAAAUUUCCCUGGGGUGAGAGCCAGCCACUCUCCUUUAAGAGAGGAGUGGGAAUAGGCUUUUGAAAGAAAAAAUGUACAUACAUACAUAUAUGUGUGUGUGUGUUUCUCUAUGUGCAAACACUUGGCCCAAAACUUACUAUCUUCUGGGUGUAGCUAAUAUACACCAGGAGAUUCAGCCCCCAGACCUGGCUAGCUUCAUUCUUAGGGUUAUUAAGAAUAUCCCUUACUAGUUUUGAAAUACUCUCUGGUCACUGCUGCUUGAAACUGCACAACUACAGAUUAAUUUCUUUGGCUUAAAGGUUUUUAAUACAAAACUUGAAGAUAAUUCCAGCAACUCCACAGUCCCCUGCAGUUCCCCACUAGCAAGAAGCUGUUCUGUUAAUGGGACAUAUACUGGCUUUGGAAUCAAACUAACCUGCGUUAAAAACCCAGUCACACCACUAACUAGUUCUUUUUGCUGAUUCUUAACCAUUCUGAGAUAUAGUUUCCUUAUUGUUAAAACGAGAAUAAUAAGAGCCUCUUGAGGGUUUUUUUUUUUCUUUUUUCUGUGAAGUUUAGGUAUUAUAUAGCACAAGAAGCACCUAGCAGAAUGCCUGGCACAUACUAACCUCUCAAGUAGAGUCAUGUGAGCAGGUGAAGCAUUUCAUGGCAUGCACAUUUCAUAAUCCCUACACUGAUUCUUUUUGAGAAUAUGAUACACUAGGGAUCCAUAAUUUCUUUGUGGAACUAUUGGAGAAAAUCUCUCCUGAACUGCUUUCCAGACUGGCGUGGAGCCUUGGCUGUUAACCAUCACUUCUCCUGAAUAACCUCCCUGAUCUCUGGGCUCAGCCUGUGGAAAGUCCGCGGUGAAUAGAGCAGAGAUCCCAGGAAUAAUGGGCAGUGUUCCGCUGACCUCUGAAGUUGCGUACUGGAAAAAUGAGAACACAAUGGUGCACUGCUGGCUUCUCCCUGGGAACUGCCCUUCACCCUGCACAUGCAGAUCCCAACCUCCCCCAAGUCUUUUAUUUAGAAACCUUGUUUGUUGUCUUCUGGUUUCCCAUCACAUCUGGUUUUUGCCAAUUGGCUGUUGAUGGGAACAUGUGAACAAUGAUUUGCAUGUUAAUAAUCCCCAGAAUGCUGGUGGAUGGUCAUUAAAUAUUCUUAACUGUAAGAGUUGUGUGACACCUUCCAUGCCUCAUGAAAAGAUGUGGGGACAGAACUGCUCUAGACACUCUCAUACCUGUCUCAGGCUCUAGAAUCUGAUGACUUGGUCUCUCCUAGGUGAGACCAGCCCCUGCAGUUCUUUUAGUAAGGAUUGGUUUGCUUGAGGGAAGAGCUUGCCAGGAUCUGGAAUGCUUUUGUUAAAGGUAUUUGCUGUGGAGUUCAAACAUGCCCUAGUCAGGAGGGAGGCUGGGAUAGCUGUAUAUAUACAUCUGUCAGAAAUCAUUUUACGCCCCAAGCUAGCUCCAAACCUCUCUUCUCUGUUUCCUGAAAAUCUGUCUGAAGAUAAAUUCAUGAGAGCCUACCUUCAUGGGAUAUUUUAUGUCCACAGUUUCCAAUACACAUUCAAGCAGUAGUAGAACUAGCACAGAGUUUGGACUCAGACCUCAGUUUCAAUCUGAGACCUUCCCUAUAUGGUUACAUGGAUUUGAGCAUAUUAUCUAAAAUUUCUGAGCCUUAAAAAAAAUUUUUUUUUUACGUACUCCAGUUUGAGAUAGGACUGUAUGGUUGAAACAUUGAAUUCAUCUAACAAGAGACAUGAAAUGGUAGCUCCUUUUUGUGUUUUUCUUGAUUAUUUCCUUCACUGAUUCAUCCUAGUUUUGUAAAACAUACAAGCCCACAGACAUGUGCAUACAUUGCAGUUAACAUGAAGCAAUUAAACAAAAUAGAGAAUCGAGAACUCUUUCUGAAAGCCACUUUCUUCUCAGCCAAGGGCAAAUGGGUCUAUAAAGUAUUUUCUGUUGGAAGAACGGGCAUUUGUUUCCCAUCAUUUUUGGGUCUCACCGUUUUGCAAGUACAAUAUUAAUAGAAAUGAAUGCAAUAGCAAACAGACAUAAAGGAUUAUAGCAAUAGCAAUUACACAAUGCCCUUUCAAAGCUGGAUUUUAAGUCUUGCAGAUGUAGCCUAGAGGUCAGUGAGGCCCUCUUGCAAAAGCUGCCUUCACCAGACAUGGGAAUAAUUUCAUGCUGUUCCCUGCAGAACAAGACUGCAGGGUCCAGGGUCCUUACUAACUAAUGCCUGUCAACUCUGGGCCAUCUGAGAGGUACAAUCCCCUUUUACUCUUAAUAGUAUUUUCCCUGUUUCUUCCUACAACUUAUUUCAAUCUCAAGGUCUCACUGGCUAGAGUUUAUAAGGACAUGCAAAAUUAUUUACUGAAAGGCUAGGGUAAUUUCAGAGGUAUGUUAUAAUAUUGUAGAAAAAAAGAUAACAGAUAAAAUCAACUCAAUUUUCUAUCUGAGAGGAAAGCUCCCUAAGCCUUAGGUCUUUGCAGGGAGAUGGCUUUGCAUGUGAGUUGCCUUCAUUUCCAACCAGGCUCUCCGGCCAUGGGAUUUAUAUAUAUACUCCACAUACCCUUUUUCAGUCCCUCACUCUGAUAAUGCUAACAAUUUCCUUGAGAAAUCAUCAUUUCUUUCAUAGCAGUCUCUCCCCUUUUGCAGUAUCCUGGGCUUUAGCCAAGAGGCCAUUACUACUUGCUGUUCUCCAAAGUGGGAGCAGGAUAAAGAAGCAUGGACUUCUGUCCUAUGAGGGAGAAUAAGCGUGAAUACAAAUCAAAUUUCUUUUCAAACUUGCCAACAUUGACAUGCUGGUUUCCUUACUAGUUGAGGUAUCAAAUAUUUUCUCCUAAUCCUACUAAUAUCUUGAGGAUGCAGAUUCGAUCCCUGGCCCUGCUCAUUGGAUUGGGGAUCCAGUGUUGCCUUAAGCUGUGCCCUAGGUCAUAGAUGUGGUUCGGAUCCCACGUUGUUGUGGCUGUGGUGGAGGCCAGCAGCUGCAGUUCAGAUUUGACCCCUAGCCUAGGAACUUCAAAAUGCCAUGGAUGUGGCCUUAACAAGAAAAAUUAUUUAUUUAUUUUUCAUCGAAGACAUGACCAUGUAUGUUAAUGAAAGAAUGUCUUCUCUUAUCAAAGCACAGUUCUUGUUCUUUGAAACAAUAGUUUUCACUUUUUUUCCUGGAGGAGUGUUUGUUUGUCCCUGCUGACCUUGAAUCAGCUUUUGCUGGUGUUAAUAAAAUAGUUUAAUAGCUAUUCUCCUGUUUAAUCAAGGUAUGGGACUAGUUUCUGUGAAAUUAUUUUGAUGAAGAAUCAUCCUGUGAUGUUACCUCCUCCGCAAUACUUAGUUUCCAAUGUAAUAUUAACUUUGAUUGGAUAGGUAACCUCUG
This 5610-nucleotide long non-coding RNA is filed under the name Sus scrofa (pig). RNAcentral's name for it is "lncRNA (ENSSSCG00000061142.1)". Lineage: Eukaryota; Metazoa; Chordata; Mammalia; Artiodactyla; Suidae. The record is from RNAcentral.